UUGGAGACGACACUCAGAAACUUUUCCUGUUUAACCACAGGAGAUAGUAUUAUGGUGGCUUACAACAAUAAAAAAUAUUAUAUAGACAUUGUGGAGACCAAACCUUCUAAUGCAAUAAGUAUUAUUGAGACAGACUGUGAAGUAGACUUUGCUCCCCCACUUGAUUACAAAGAACCUGAAAGAGUGGCUCCUCCUCAUCCAAGCAAGGCUUUAGCAGCAGGUGCAUAUUCUUCAAAUUUGCUGAAAUUAAUUCUCAUUCUUCACUUUUUGUUCAUAUGUUUCUUCCUGUAGAUUACUGCAGAGCUUGCUAUAUCUUAACUUAUUUCUGUAGCUUAAUUAUUAUUUGCUCAUGCAGUUGAAGAGGCUGCAGCUGAAGUUGAGCCAAAGUUCAACCCUUUUACUGGUGAAGCAAGACGUUUGGAUGGGAAACCGUUAAAACAACAACCUCCACCUUCUUCCUCUUCUGGGUCCUCAGACAAGCAUGUCAAUAGUACUAAUGGUAAUAAGAAGCCUGCUGCAGCUCCAAACUCCCAAAUCUCUAGUCGUCAGUCACAAGGGAAGCUUGUAUUUGGCUCAAGUGCAAACCGCGCACCUGAGAAACAAAAGGUUUUAUAUCUCUUCCUUUGGCAGACUCUUAAGAAUCCUUCAAAAAAAUCUAUUCAUAUCCAUUUGGUAUUUUCAAGUACCUUGCUAGACUGAGUCUCAGCUGGUAAUAUUCUUGUCAAUAUGCAGGAACCUGUGAAAGAGGAACCUCAAAAGAAAGAAGAACCCAAGUUUCAGGCUUUCUCCGGGAAAAAGUACUCCUUGAGGGGCUAAUUGUAUAUUAACCUUUUCUUUUGUCAGUCAAAUAUCUGAAUUAUGUUAAACUUAUUGUGUAAAUCCAUACAAAUCAGGUUUCAUUGACUUGAAAAUGGAAUGUACUCCUAUUCAGGAGAGUGAUCUUGAAAAUGGCUGGCCAGCCGGCGGGCGCAGGCUCUUUUAUAAAGCAUUGUUUGUUUGAUUACUCUAGUAUAGUGGUCUUUUAUUUGGCCCUCCAAAUUUGUGGUUUUUAAUUUUUGUCAAUGCUUUUCAUUUAAUUAAAAUUUGUGCACUCUAGUAUCCUUAUUGAUCUAAUUUUCCUCAGCAUAAGUUUAUGGAAUUUUUGUCUUGUCCGACACAAUUUGAGUGUUGUGAAAUUGAAUUUAUGCCUCUAUCAAAUUAAGUUCCGUAGGAAUUAAGUUAAGCUUUAUACAAUUGCUUGUGAGUUCUGCAUUGAAGGGGCAUAAGUUUGAUAGGAAUUAAGCGGCAUAACAUUAUGCCAAAGCACAAUUUGUGUUAUUAUAUGAUACAAAACUGUUAAGUAUAUCUUAAAGUGAUUCUCCUUUUAUAGGAAUUUAGCGGCAUAACGUCAUGCCAAACAAUAAUUUGUGUUACUAUUUUGUAUAUGUCUGUGUUUUUUUUUUAAUUUUAUUUUUUAUGUUGAGACUAUUUUGGGCUAUUUUUUUUUUGGGGAAAAUAACACUUGUAAUCUAAAAAGGAAAAAUUAUUUACAAGCGACCAUAACUUUACUUACAUACCCCAUCUUUUUAAAUAUUCUCGAGCGUAUAUUUUGAUGGUAUAAAAGAGCAAGAAAUCGUUUGAUAUUAUCAGAGUAUAUGGAUACCAUCAGAGUUUAGAGUUUCCACUAAAUAAGGCUGUGACUUCAAUAAAAAUAAAUAAAUUCUAUUUUAAUAAUUUUCUCUUAAUUGUUUCUUAUUUAUCUUUUUGAAAGAGAGCCAAGACCUUUAUUAUACUGCUAUGGUAACCAACAGAGUCUUAACUGUUUCAUAUUUAUUUUUUUAAAAGAAAGCCCAAUCCUGUAUGAUACUUGAGAAUCAACACAUAAAUGGAGUGUCAUAGGAUUAAACUCAAUUUUAUAUAAUACCAUACUAUGGGCGGAGUACAACAACAUAGAGAUGCUAAUGUCAUUGUUGAUGUUAUGAGCGAAAUAAAAAAAAAUAGGAUAAAUGGAUAAAUAAAAUAGUUUAAAUUGCGCCUAUUUUUGAUAAAUAAUCUUGCAAUUAGGUCUAUUUUAUGUAAUUUUUUCCUUCUUUGUGUGGUGUGCUUUAUGAAUCAAAUUUAUUUAGUUGGCCCAUGCCCAAAUUCCUCUUAUUGGGCCGGCUCAAAUAAAUAGACCCAUACCCGGAAGGCGUCUCCCAUCAGCAUCAGAUUCUUGCUCUUUUCCUCCUCUUUCUACACGAACUCUUCACAUUCUCUUUCUCGGAAGGAGUCAAAUCUGUAUGUUUCUCUUUCUUUUUCCGUCAUAAUUCACCCUUUUGUCCUGUAUGAUUCUAAUUGGACGAUGAACCUUUAGUCUUCUUGCGAUUAUACUUGUUGGUGAAACACGAAUUUUAGUGAAUUGGAUGAGUUCUAGUGUAAUAUCACAGUUUUAUGCAAUUUUUACGAAUUGAUAAAUUUUCUUAUUUUUGCGAUGAAGGUUUGAACUUGUUAUUAUGUGCUCGAUUUUCUGAAAUAGUACUAAAUUAUUGAAAAUAGACUGUAUUUUUAAUAAUAUCAUCUUUUUUGAUUACCGUUGUUUUAUAGGUUAGCUGAGACAGUUGAGUUCGGGGUACACAGAGAUAGAAAUCAUGGUAAAUUUUCUGUUCUCUGUGGUUAAUAUGUGCAGCAAUACUGUUAUUGAUUCUCGACAUAUACUCCCAUGGUUGUAUUGAUGUUUAUUUCAGUAUAUCUUAGGAACACUAAUUUGUGAAUGGAAAGGGAAGCGGUAAUUAGCUAGGGAUAGGGCCAGGCCAUAUUGGAUAUAGUGGAAGUUAUGUUUCUUAUUAAAUUAUGCAGAAGUUGUGCCUCUCUGCUAGAGGCUUGUUUUAAGGAUAUCAUCUAAUCAUUUGUUCUCUUGAAUAACAGAUGGAAAUAUAUGAUUAUUAUAGUUAUACUUACGGGUUUCUUAAUUUAAUACGAGCUGAAGAUCUAAGUGCUAGCAGUGGAACUGAAUUUGUGAAUAGAAUGUCCAUCUGUAGGGGCUAACUUCCUUCUUUUGGGAAAGAACCUGAAAAAAGAGGAGGACGUUGGUGUUAAUGGUAGUUAAUAGUCGAGAGUACAUUAAAUUACAAAAAGGUUUGUUUUCAGUUCUCAAAAUGGCAUGGACAACGGUUUCUGAGAGUCAGCAGUUGUAUAUUUGGUUCAUACAUUUGAAUAAAUAUCGAGAUUAUAGAUUCCCAUUGAUGUUAUUACCAAUAAUACACCAGGAUGCAGUAAAAAAAAAUGUAAUGGUGUGAAUUAGAUAUUUUGCUACCUACUAUAUUUCAUUCCUUGCUCUGUUGUUCUUCAAUUAUUCGACUGAGUUCAUCCUAAAGCAAUACAUUCCAUGGUAAGAAAAUGCAGACUGUUCACAUGAGAGAGAGAGUGAGAGAGCAAUAGAGUGAGCUGAUUAUCAGAAAGCUUGGUCAAUGAUUCAAAAGAUGCCUCUUGGAACAUCAUUUUGAAAUAGCUAAAAAGGUAGGGCGAAAUCCUAUGGCAUUUAGGUUUGCCUUUCAAAUAAUCAUCUACUUUGCUGGUGCACCCAAAAUGGCUACAAAGUAAAGGCCUUGUUUCAAGAUUUGCUAGCCCAUACCCUGUCUCCAAAGACACCUUGUAGACCUGCAAUAGAAGAAAAGUUUUGUUUUCAUAAACAUACUAUUCAGAGUGCACAACCUUUAAUUGGAACUGACUAAAUGACUUGCUUUUCCAUUAGCUACCCUAAACACAGCCAAUCAUUGAAUACAUCUACCUUCAAAGGAGCAUUUUCUUUGUUGAAUGCAGUGUUAAUUUAUUUCUGUUUCCUAACCUUUACAAAACUAUCAUUGACUCUAUUGAUAUAUAUCUAUAUCAUAAGUGUUAAUCUUCAUUUCUAUUUUUCAUUAUUGUACUUUUUGAUUUGUGAUCUGCAGUUUUUUGAUGGAUAUGGAUAUCAUGGAAGAUCAUUUGAGCAGACAUACCGGUGUUAUCCUGCAUCAUUCAUUGAUAAGGUUAGAAUGGUUUUGAAAGGACAAAUUUUGUUUAAUACUCUAAUCUACUGUAUUAAUCACGGUUUUUUGCUUAGCUCAUCUUCUUCUUUUCAUUCUUCUAAUAUAUGUGUAUGAUUUAUUUUGAGGUAACUUGCUAGAAGAGCUUUUACAGCUUUCUGCAGGUUGCAUCAUGUGCAUUUGUUGUUAAAGACAAGGGGGUUGGGUCGGUGAGGGCAUGGAUAUUCUUUUAUUGAGGGAAGGGGGAGGAAUUUAACUGUUUAAUAGUUCUUCUUGGUAUAGUUGUAUGUUGAAAGAAGUCUUCUUUUUGACCUAUAUGCAGAUUAUAUGUGGUGGGAGAUGGGUCUUAUAUGUGUAUUAAACAUGUAUUUCAGAUGUUUGUCCCACGUAUCACUUCUACCACUGCAAAAUUAUGCCAUUUAUUCUCUUACUUUUUCUUUAAUUCUGAUUAUGUGUGUUUCAUACUUUGCAGCCACAAAUAGAAAAUGGAGACAAAAGUAAGUAUUGCCAAUAGUUCUUUUUCAGAUCUGCAGUAGGUAUUCGAGCAUCAAGUCUUAAGUUGUUUUUCCUUUAUUUUUUCCAGUUAUAAUGCCUCCAUCUGCUCUUGAUCGUCUAGGUCAGUAUCCUUGUUCUGUAUCUUGGCAUCUUCAGUUACUUAGAUUUUGCAUCUUUAUCAGUUGGCAGCUGGUUCUUUUCUUAACUGUAUUCAACAUUGAAUGUAAAUUUUGUAGCAUCACUUCACAUUGAUUACCCAAUGCUGUUUGAGCUUCGAAAUACUUCCUCGGAAAGGGUUUCACACUGUGGGGUUUUGGAGUUCAUUGCAGAAGAGGGCAUGAUAUAUAUGCCAUAUUGGGUACAUUUCUUUUCUUUGUAAUUCUAUUUUCUUGAGUUCAUUUCAACUGCUGUGCAUAAACUCAUUUCAAUGUGGACCUUGUAGAUGAUGGAAAAUUUAUGCCUACAAGAAGGUGAUAUUGUGACAGUGAAAAAUGUAACUCUUCCUAAGGGUAAAUAUGUCAAGCUGCAACCCCACACGAAAGAUUUUCUGGAUAUUUCUAACCCGAAGGCCAUGUGAGUAUGCUGAAGCUUUUUUUUUUUAAAUAACUUUUGUGGCUCAGUUCCGUUUUAUGCUAGUGUUUAUGGAGUCCAAUUGUUUCUGCAUAAUUUCUAGAAUUUACGGCACACUCAAGGAAAAUCAGCAAGACAAAAGAAUUGCUCCAGCUGUCCCAAUUCACACUCUUUUUUUGGGGCAUGAUUGUUGAGUUAAAGAAUUGAAACUUUUGUAAAAAUGAAGUCCAAGGCUGUAGAUGAAUUAAACUUUUUGGAAUUAGUUACUUCUUCAAUGUAUAAAAGGAUGACCCACAACAUAUUCUAAUGUCAAAAGAAAUUGAAAAUGUAUCAAAUUUUGUAGGUAACAAGUUUACCUGACAGGUUUGGGAAAGAACAUACGAAGUAGGAGAAUAAUUUGGAAACAUUUAUAGGAGAUAAUAUGGCCAUCAAAAUAGGAGAGCUGAGUGUGGUAAAAAAUUGGAGGAUGCAUCAGUCUGUGUUCUUGAGUUAAAGAGGAGUUUGAGGACAAUUUUGUGUUUGAACAUAUAGGUGGAAUCACUUGCUAAUUCACUGGAAUUGACACUUGGUUGUUGUAUAUAGAUAAUUAGUAAACAUUAGAGUUUGACCAGUCUAACGCCAAAAUGCACUAGUAUUGUUCUUAAUGAGUUAAAAUCUGACUUAAUUUUAAAGUGAAAUUGCUUCAGCAAAAUGAUGUAUAAGAACCUUCAUGGAGCAAUAUCACCUCUUUGUUGCAGGAUUGACUUUUUUUGAGAUGAUUUAUGAGUUAAAGUUUCCUUUGGAAAAAGAGAAACAGUAUGUUAUCCAGGAUUGAAGUUCUUUUGUCUGACAUCUAUUUAAUUAUGGGAAAAGGGCCUAGGGGAGGAGAUACGGAUCCAUGCAGUGAGUCUUCUUAGGUGCAAAUACUUCCCGAAUUAGUUUUUCUUGUUAUUCUUUUAAAUUGAGAAAAUUAUAGUCCAAUGUAGUGGUUGAAAUAUUUGCUUCUAUGGGUAGAGGUGGAUUGAAAUGACAUUGUAUCGAGGAAUAAACAUGAUCAUAUAAUUAGUUCCUGCUGUGUUCCAUUUAUGAAUAGCGCCGGGUUGGCUCCUUGAUGACCUAAUUUAUAGUGUUACACCUAUUCUAUAAUUGCUAUAUUUUGUAUGACAAUUCCUGCUUAAACACUAAGCAUAGAUAAGUGAGAUGAUUGACAAGUGCAAUUUAUUUUCAUUUUUUAUUUGAAUUAGGAGAAUUGCAUCUGCUAAUUGGCCUAACCAAUAUUUUUUGGUUUAGUUGCUUAUUAAUUUGCUCUGAUUUGCAAAAAACUCACAUUCCAAUGGACGCUUUGUAGUCUGACUUCUUUCCUUUACUGAUGCAGCUUGGAGACGACCCUCAGAAACUUUUCUUGCUUAACCACAGGAGAUAGUAUUAUGGUGGCUUACAACAAGAAAAAAUAUUAUAUAGACAUUGUGGAGACCAAACCUUCUAAUGGAAUAAGUAUUAUUGAGACAGACUGUGAAGUAGACUUUGCUCCCCCACUUGAUUACAAAGAACCUGAAAGAGUGGUUCCUCCUCGUCCAAGCAACGCUCCAGCAGAAG
RNAcentral lists this long non-coding RNA (6620 nucleotides) under Solanum pimpinellifolium. Its description in RNAcentral is "long non-coding RNA (SPIM_LNC000006)". Lineage: Eukaryota; Viridiplantae; Streptophyta; Magnoliopsida; Solanales; Solanaceae. The record is from RNAcentral.